UACAGAGGUCUCAAGCGUUGUUCGGAUUCAUUGGGCGUAAAGGGUGCGUAGGCGGCGCGGUAAGUCGGGUGUGAAAUCUCGGAGCUUAACUCCGAAACUGCAUUCGAUACUGCCGUGCUUGAGGACUGGAGAGGAGACUGGAAUUUACGGUGUAGCGGUGAAAUGCGUAGAUAUCGUAAGGAAGACCAGUGGCGAAGGCGGGUCUCUGGACCACUACUGACGCUGAGACGCGAAAGCGUGGGGAGCAAACAGG
Molecule: ribosomal RNA, 253 nt
Filed under: uncultured bacterium
Lineage: Bacteria
Description: partial 16S ribosomal RNA
Rfam family: Bacterial small subunit ribosomal RNA
Source: RNAcentral